Molecule: ribosomal RNA, 861 nt
Filed under: uncultured archaeon
Lineage: Archaea
Description: bacterial SSU rRNA
Rfam family: Archaeal small subunit ribosomal RNA
Source: RNAcentral
CGGUUGAUCCUGCCGGAGGUUACUGCUAUCGAGGUUCGACUAAGCCAUGCGAGUCGAAUGUAGCAAUACAUGGCGUACUGCUCAGUAACACGUGGACAACCUACCCUUGGGUCGGGGAUAAACCCGGGAAACUGGGUAUAAUACCCGAUAGAUCUGCGAAGCUGGAAUGCUCGCAGGUUCAAAGCUCCGGCACCCAAGGAUGGGUCUGCGGCCUAUCAGGUAGUAGUGGGUGUAGUGUACCCUCUAGCCUACGACGGGUACGGGUUGUGAGAGCAAGAGCCCGGAGAUGGAUUCUGAGACACGAAUCCAGGCCCUACGGGGUGCAGCAGGCGCGAAAACUUUACAAUGCUGGCAACAGCGAUAAGGGAACCUCGAGUGCCAGGUUACAAAUCUGGCUGUCGUGAUGCCUAAAAAGCAUUGCAUAGCAAGGGCCGGGCAAGACCGGUGCCAGCCGCCGCGGUAACACCGGCGGCUCGAGUGGUAACCGUUAUUAUUGGGUCUAAAGGGUCUGUAGCCGGCUGGAUAAGUCUCUUGGGAAAUCUGGCUGCUCAACAGUCAGGCUUUCAGGAGAUACUGUCUGGCUCGAGGCCGGGAGAGGUGAGAGGUACUUCAGGGGUAGGGGUGAAAUCUUGUAAUCCUUGAAGGACCACCAGUGGCGAAGGCGUCUCACCAGAACGGACCUGACGGCAAGGGACGAAAGCUAGGGGCACGAACCGGAUUAGAUACCCGGGUAGUCCUAGCCGUAAACGAUACUCGCUAGGUGUCGGCCAUGGUGCGACCGUGGUCGGUGCCGUAGGGAAGCCGUGAAGCGAGCCACCUGGGAAGUACGGCCGCAAGGCUGAAACUUAAAGGAAUUGGCGG